AGCUCCAAUAGCGUAUAUUAAAGUUGUUGUGGUUAAAAAGCUCGUAGUUGAACCUUGGGCCUGGCUGGCCGGUCCGCCUCACCGCGUGUACUGGUCCGGCCGGGCCUUUCCCUCUGUGGAACCCCAUGCCCUUCACUGGGUGUGGCGGGGAAACAGGACUUUUACUGUGAAAAAAUUAGAGUGCUCCAGGCAGGCCUAUGCUCGAAUACAUUAGCAUGGAAUAAUAGAAUAGGACGUGUGGUUCUAUUUUGUUGGUUUCUAGGACCGCCGUAAUGAUUAAUAGGGACAGUCGGGGGCAUCAGUAUUCAAUUGUCAGAGGUGAAAUUCUUGGAUUUAUUGAAGACUAACUACUGCGAAAGCAUUUGCCAAGGAUGUUUUCA
Molecule: ribosomal RNA, 380 nt
Filed under: uncultured eukaryote
Lineage: Eukaryota
Description: SSU rRNA
Rfam family: Eukaryotic small subunit ribosomal RNA
Source: RNAcentral